CUACGUAGCUCAGUUGGUUAGAGCACAUCACUCAUAAUGAUGGGGUCACAGGUUCGAAUCCCGUCGUAGCC
Molecule: transfer RNA, 71 nt
Filed under: Citrobacter koseri
Lineage: Bacteria; Pseudomonadati; Pseudomonadota; Gammaproteobacteria; Enterobacterales; Enterobacteriaceae
Also listed under: 83 other names
Rfam family: tRNA
About the family: Transfer RNA (tRNA) molecules are approximately 80 nucleotides in length. Their secondary structure includes four short double-helical elements and three loops (D, anti-codon, and T loops).
Source: RNAcentral